UAGUCGUGAAAUGUACAAGGUUGAAUCGGAGUGUACAUCUGGAAGGUUGGGUAGGGUUAGUAACGAAGUGUACAUUGGGUGUUUGGGUUAGUUAGUUAUAAGGACAGCUCUGUCUUCUCUGUAAAUCAUAAGGAUGGGGGAAAUGGCAUUGCAGCUCUGUUUCCUUUUUACCUUCGGCCCCCUUUACACGCAGGAAUGGAUAAUUUUGGUGUGGUGGAAUUGAAACAGUGAAAGCUUAGCAUACGUAAGGAACAUUAUGAAUUUAUGAUGUCGUGGCAGACCUUUGAAACUGUAAAUUCUUAGCUUUUGCUAUGCUAUGUUAACGCCUGUAUAGCGCAAAAAUUUUCAGCGCUCUCACAGAAAAAGAAAUUAAAUAAUCUUUGAGCACCAUACUUGAUGUGUGAUGGGACUACACUUCAAGAUAAAAAAUCGUAAUAAUGAAAGGUUAUGUUUUUUUAGGGGAUCAAAUGUUAUGUGCAUGCCUAGUUAAGGGCAAUCUUCCUUUUUUUUUGAGACAAAGGUCAAUUUCCCUAAACGGUGCCUGCAGCCGCGUUAGGUGGGCUGGCCCAUUUUUCUGUUUCAGUCUGUAUGUUUUUUUUUCUUCAGGGUGGGUCCAACCACUGACCUCCUGUAUCGAGGCGCAAUGCGCUAACCAACGGGCCGCUCAAGCUCGUCUGAUAUUUUUCAACAUUCUCAUUAUUUUAUUACUUCUACUUUUUCUUUCCUUUUUCCGUUUCUCCUUUUCUUUUCCUGGUUUGAUGAACAUUUUCUGCCAAAUUGAUGAGCUUUUCUCUAAAAGUUGAUGAAUUAUUUUUCAAAUUUCCAUGAUUUUUUUUUCAAAUUUGAUGAACCUUUUUCCUAUUCAAUGAACUUUUGUAAAAGUCGAUGAACUUUUUUCUUCAAAUCGAUGAACUUUUUUCAUUUUUUGAUGAUCUUUUUUCUAAUUUGAUUAACAUUUUUUCAAGCUUGGUGAACUUUUGCCAAUUUGGAUGAACCUUUUCCAAAUUGGAUGAAUUUUUUUCAAAUUGAUAAACUUUUUCCCAAUUCAAUGAACUUUUUUUAAAUUUGGUGGACUUGUUUCAUAUUCAAUGAACUUUUUAUCAAAAUUGAUGAACUUUUUUUCAAACUCACAAACUUUUUCCCGUUUUGAGUUUUUUUCAAAUUCAUAAAUCUUUUUGAGUUUGCGAUUUUUUCAAAAUAUAUUAUUUUUUUAAAUGAACUUCUUUUGAAUUCGUGAACCUUUUCGAUUUGGUGAACAUUUUUGUGAAUACGCGAACUUUUUUUGCAUGUUUGUGAACUUCAUUUGAAAUCUAUGAACAUGUUUUCAAAUAAUUGAAAAAUCUAAGCAUUAAAGUGUAAUGCCACGUCUACGUUUCUAUUCUUAAACAACCCGCGCUGUAAAUAGCGACUAGCAAUUAUUGGUCUAGUGGUUAGCAUCGCUAUAAAGAAGUUCGAUGGCGCGAGUUCGAAUUCCGGUUGAUAGACAUAUAUUUUGUUGUGUUUUUUGGCUUUGCGCUGUCGUGGGCCAGCCCACCCAGAGGUGCUGCGAGCGCCAGUUAGGUUGUGCGGCGCUGAAGGCGCGCAAUAGGAGGCCUCUCCCUAGUUGGUGUAGAGGCCAGGACAAUAAUUUUAAAUGAGGCUAUCAUGUCGCUUCCUUGUGGCCCACUCGGGCGGACCAUGUAACCUAGCGCCGCCACCAAAAGAACCUCCAAUCCUCUUGCCGCCGUCGGAGGAAGUUGUAGGGCGGAGCCGCUGACGUUGGCGGCGGGGACCUUUAUGCUUGUGUCGUGGGGGUGGCCCCGGGCAUGGCGGAGCCCCUCUCGGUGACGGUUGCGGCAACGUUUUGACGUGGCUACUCGGUUCCAUCAAGGCUGGGCCGUUGCCUGCCUCCUCGUCUGCGUGUGACGUUGGGUGUGCUAGGUGGUGGUGGCGUGCUUUGGUACGGUUGUGUUGGCGUCAAAUCACACGGUUGGGGAGCUGACUGAUCCUGGUUGGGAUCAGCAGGUUGGCGUCUAGCAUAGUCACGGGCUGUUUACGGGGGUUUGACGGAGUGGUUAGCAGUGAUUGGCUGAGAUUUGGUUUAAUGAGGCAGGCCCCACCAAUGAAAAUCGGGGGGAGGGGGGCAAUUAGUGGAGGACACGCAUGGAGGGUCCAUAAAAGUCCGUUGUUUCCCUCCGUGCGUGUAGUAUUAUCGCCCCAGGGAGGAUUGGGAUAUAGCAUGGAUAUGACUGGUGGGGCCAAUGUAGUGAGUUAGAGUAUCGAUUGAUCCCAUCCUAGAUUAUCUUUUUCCCGGUGCAUCAAACGGAUCCAGGGUUUAGUUUGACCAAGAUCGAUGAGUACAGGGUAUCGAUUUUAGAGAUGUAAGGUUGAUGAUUCAUUUGUGUCACACUAUACAAGCUCAUUAGCUCAGGGUUUAAAACAGACUUAACGAAUGCUCCAGAUUACAUGGAGAUGCGGUCUGUUCAGAUAGAACUUGAAAGUUGAGCCGUAUCUACCACAACUAUACGCAGGGAAAUCAAUCGCAACAACUCCAUGCCGUACACGUACGGGAUUAAAACAUAUUUCAACAGGCUCCAGUUCAUCGUCCGCGACAUCAACCCAGCAACAUUACUAGAUCCGUAGGUCGCGCAGUUCACCCAUGGCCAGGGUGCGCGGGACGGGUCGGAUCUCACGCCGGCGGCCUCCUAAGGCGGUCCGCGGCGGCGGCGAAGACAGGAUCAGCGCCCUCCCCGAUGAUCUCCUCCUCCUCAUCCUGCGCCGCGUCGACACCCGCACGGCGCUCGGCACUGCGUCGCUGUCCAGGCGCUGGUCCCGCCUCCCCGCCGAGCUCCCCGCCCUGGACUUCAGUGUCUUCGACGUGCUCCCGGAGCGCUACUGCAGCUGGCUCCGCCUCCAUCUCAGGAUCGACGACGCCACGGAUGAGAGUGUCCUGGCUAACUUGAUGAGGUACGAGCGCCGCGCCAUGCGCGCCCUAAUCGGCUUCAUCCAGAGCCGCCUCUUGUUGGACGCUCCCCGGAGGCUCCGCCGGCUGGGGCUCCAGUUCUUCUCCGCCGACAAUAACAGCGGCCUCAUCAACCGGCUCGUCGCCAAGGCCAUCGACGACUGGGGGGUCAGCAAUCUGGAGGCCGUCGCCGCGCCGUUCUACACGCAGCCGGCCGCCGCCCACGCCUUUCCCGGCCACGGCCUCUGCGAGCGUCCCCGCGCGUCGCGCCUGCGGAAGCUCAAGCUCGGGGGCUGCGCCGUGCUCCCGCCGCUUCACGAGCACGGCGCGCUCACCAAGCUCGUCCUGCAAGACAUGCCGGAGUCGGUGCCUGUCGCGGCCUACGAGGCCGUGCUCGCCUCGUGCCCGCAGCUGCAGGUGCUGCACCUCGUGUGCUGCCUCUGCCGCGGCGCCGAGGUCAUGACCGUCGACGCCCCAAUGUCGCGGAUCAGGGAGCUCGUCGUCGACAGGUGCGAGUUCCCGACGAUGAUACGCAUGGCGGCCCUUCCCGGCCUCGAGAGGCUGGCCUCGCUCGGAACCAGGGUGUCCUUCGCGGAGUCCGCCUCGUUUCCCCGCCUCAGCCAGUGCAACCUCGCCUGGUUCUCCGAUGCCCAGCCGACAAGGACGGUGCUCGACUUCCUCGUCCGACGGACCCCGGACAUUGCCAGCCUUAUGAUCCGAUUCACCGGACCGGAGAGGUGGAUCGUGCCGUGGAGCCACCACCCGUCGUCGCUGCUGCCUAACCUGACAAGGCUACUGGUCGCCGACGUGCCUUCGUCCUGGGACGUCUCGUGGCCCCGGCUCCUCCUCGAGACGGCGCCUUCCCUCGAGACCCUGCAUGUCCACGUCGCCGCCUGCGUGCAGGAGCCCGGCGAGGAGAUAAGCUGGGGGGCUGCCGUGCCCCGGCACCAUGGCCUCAAGGAGUUCGUGAUGGCCGGUUUCGGGGGCACGGCGAGGCAGGUUUACCUUGUCAGGUUCGUCAUGGGAGCGUGCACGGCGCUGCGGUGUGUCGCCGUGUUCAAGGAAGGGCAUGCUCGUGACAAGGGGCACUGGGACUGGGAGAUAGUGGUGCAGCCACACUCGUGGACCGACGAGGAGAGGAACAACUUGCUGGGCCAGAUCAUGGAUGGCGCUUCUUCCUCGGCUGCCUCGGUUCAAAUGGUUUUUGGCUGAGUUAGUUUUUCACGUGUGUUGUCUAUGGCUCAAUGGCUGGAACCUUCAAUAUGCGUCGGGUAGUUUAAUGGUCCCUUGGGAAAUACACUUUGAUUCCUGGUUAUAUACACCCUAUAUGAGGAUUUUUAAAUAAUUAAACAAAAAGGCAAAAUAGUUCAGAAGUUUUUUAAAAUAAAAUUGACUUACUUUUGCUCGGGUAUAUAUUUUUUACGAAAAAACAACAUUGACUAACAAAAAAAUUGUAAAUGUUUCUAACAAAAAAUUCAGUUUUUUUUAAAUUCCAUUUUUUGAUCUUACUGUUCACCCGAGCUCACAUGAGCUCGGGAUUAGAACAGCCACAUCCCCAUUAUGGUCAUGUACUCUCAUUCACUCCAAAAAAACCUAGUGCUCCCUAGAUUAGGAGCAUCCGCAUGUAUCUCGGGCUGUGGGGGUCACUAUGGACCCUGUCUGUAAGGCUGUGUGUCAUUGAUUGAGAGUAACACACACCUAGUUGUAUUGGGCCGACGGGUGUUUUUUGGUUUUUUGCAAUGUAUUACUUGUAUUUUUCUUUCUUUUCUAUUUAUCCUUUUCUAUUUUUUAUUAAUUCUUUUUAUUUUUCAUAUUAUAAUUCAUGAAUAUUAUUUUCAAACAUGAAUAUUUUUUAAAUAGACAAAUAUUUUUUCAAGUUCUUGAAUAUUUAUAAAGUUUGAGACAAGUUUUCAGUCUAUGAAUUCUUUUACAUUAGUUCAUCCUUUUCCAAAUUCCUGAACAUUAUUUGAAAUUAAUGAUUUUUUUAAAUUUCAUGGUUUUUUAAUUCAUGACAUUUUCUAAAAUCUGUGAACACACUUUUAUUUAACAACUCAUUCAAAUUAAAAAAUUGAUAGCCAUUUUGUUUUCUAAACUAGCAGUGAAGCAAGCGAGUGGAGCCGGGAGCCGAGCUGAGCAAAUGAGAUCUUCAUUGCUCGGCCCAUGUGAGCAUUAUGGCAGUAGUUUUACAAUUUCAACGUAGAACAAGAGUUUUUAAGGAGGAAAUACACAGGAGCACCUGGGUGCUCCACCGCCCAAAAAUAGGAGAAAAAACAUUUUUGAAAUCUUGGGAUAUGAAACUUGCGUGCCCAAUCUACUCCCCUGUGAAGUUUUAUAUGAAAAUACCAGGAAAUGUAUCUGUGGCGAAGAAAAUAAAGUCUGAACUAAAAUCCAUCUAAAUAGUUUUUUUUCUAUACAUAGGACUUUUUUGGUCUUUUUGCCACAGAUAUGUUUCCUGGUAUUUUUUCCUGAAAUUUCACACAAAUAUAGACUGGGCACCCAGGUUCCAUAUCCCAAAAUUUCAGUUUUUUUUUUGAAAUUUCUCAGUAUUUUUUAAACUUAAUGUUCAUAUAGGGGUGUGUAGUGCCCAAGCGCUACAAAUACUCUUCCCUUUCAAGGGCUAGUUAUUUUGCUGGGCUUCCAGAAUAAGCUGCUCCUACCCAAUUUAUUCUAGAAGCCCAACCAAUUUUUUUUUAGUAAAAGCUUAUUCUAGAAGUCAGCAAAAGAACUGGCCCCAAAUAUAGAAGGGGCUCACACAACCAACGCAGGCUACACCAAGGCCCAAAUAUGUAUCUUCUUAGAACAAAUACUGCCUCAACUGCAGCCCAUCACGAUAUGCAAAUGAAAGGAACACCAGUGGCGGCGCCAGCCUCAAGAAUCUGUGGGGUCAAUGGAUUUUUUUCUUCACGGUGAACAGGAAGUGAACAGUGAUUCUAGGCUGUUUUUCAAAAAAGCCCGACCCCACAGCUUACACAUAGAUUCGCCUCUGACCACCGUAACAUAAUUAAAAUCCAAGCCAACGUAAAUAAAACCAAAACCAAACAACUGACUGCAAUAACCUGAAAGAGCUGAUCCCACGAGUGAAUCAUCUGAUGUAUAGUUUCAGGUGGGUGACGGAUGGGUGAUUGGUUGCAAGUACCAAUCAUUCCAUUCAGUAAACAGUCGCUUACUACUGUAGUAUUGUCCUACUCUAGUACUCCCACUUGGCCACUUGUAUUUCUGCUUUGCUUUGUUUGAUUCAAGCUUUAAUUAAGCCGCAUUUCAUACUCAAACAUGAAAUUACUUGUCGAUCGUUCCCUCAUUUGCGAAUCCGCACGUCCGUUAAUGCUGCGGCGUAAGUGCCAUUAAUUCAGACGUGCACGGUCCGACUUUGGAGAUGGGAUUGUACGGCAUGAAGAUAGGACCAAAUAAUUGAUGAGAAGUUGAGAGCACACGGUGACCGAGUGGCUUCGGUUUGGCAUCUUGAAACCUAAAAAACCUACUGAGUGCAACGUAUAUUUCUUGAUCGAGAUGCGUGGGCAUGCAUUCGUCACUCGCUAGCAGAGUACGGUAACAAAAAAAAAA
This 6502-nucleotide long non-coding RNA is filed under the name Triticum aestivum (bread wheat). RNAcentral describes it as "long non-coding RNA (TAES_LNC021458)". The record is from RNAcentral. Lineage: Eukaryota; Viridiplantae; Streptophyta; Magnoliopsida; Poales; Poaceae.